Molecule: ribosomal RNA, 484 nt
Filed under: uncultured bacterium
Lineage: Bacteria
Description: partial 16S ribosomal RNA
Rfam family: Bacterial small subunit ribosomal RNA
Source: RNAcentral
AUUGAACGCUGGCGGCAGGCCUAACACAUGCAAGUCGAGCGGAUGAAGGGAGCUUGCUCCUGGAUUCAGCGGCGGACGGGUGAGUAAUGCCUAGGAAUCUGCCUGGUAGUGGGGGAUAACGUCCGGAAACGGGCGCUAAUACCGCAUACGUCCUGAGGGAGAAAGUGGGGGAUCUUCGGACCUCACGCUAUCAGAUGAGCCUAGGUCGGAUUAGCUAGUUGGUGGGGUAAAGGCCUACCAAGGCGACGAUCCGUAACUGGUCUGAGAGGAUGAUCAGUCAAAAUGGAAAUGAGAAAAGGUCCCGAACUCCAAGGGAAGCCACAGGGGGGAAAAAUGGACCAUGGGCGGAAGGCUGAUUCCGGCCAGGCGGGGGUGUGAAGAAAGGUCUCGGAUUGGAAAGGCACUUUAGGUGGGAGGAAGGGGAGUUAGGUAAAACCUUGCUGGUUUGAACUUAACCAAAGAAAAAGGCACCGCCAAACUUCUG